Molecule: ribosomal RNA, 401 nt
Filed under: uncultured Actinomycetales bacterium
Lineage: Bacteria; Bacillati; Actinomycetota; Actinomycetes; Actinomycetales
Description: bacterial SSU rRNA
Rfam family: Bacterial small subunit ribosomal RNA
Source: RNAcentral
CAAGGCUUGACAUAUACGAGAACGCUGCAGAAAUGUAGAACUCUUUGGACACUCGUAAACAGGUGGUGCAUGGUUGUCGUCAGCUCGUGUCGUGAGAUGUUGGGUUAAGUCCCGCAACGAGCGCAACCCUCGUUCUAUGUUGCCAGCACGUAAUGGUGGGAACUCACGGGAUACUGCCGGGGUCAACUCGGAGGAAGGUGGGGAUGACGUCAAAUCAUCAUGCCCCUUAUGUCUUGGGCUUCACGCAUGCUACAAUGGCCGGUACAAAGGGCUGCAAUACCGUGAGGUGGAGCGAAUCCCAAAAAGCCGGUCCCAGUUCGGAUUGAGGUCUGCAACUCGACCUCAUGAAGUCGGAGUCGCUAGUAAUCGCAGAUCAGCAACGCUGCGGUGAAUACGUUCCC